UGUAGUUUUCGCCUGUCCAGGACGCCUUCACCCCUGCUUCGAGAAAAGUCCCUCUCCCACUCCAAGUGGUACUGACGGGGGUCACCCACACAAAAGAAACCUGGAGGCUCCCCUCCUGGGGCACCCGGCUUCUGCUCCAACCAGGUUUCAACAGAAAAUGAGAAAUAUCCCCCGACGAUUGGCUGAAAACAUGCAGCAACCACUAUUUUCUUCCUGCCCCUCGUUGAUGAGAGCAUUCGAAGUGACCUCAGCAGGGCAUCCAGAUCAAUUAUGCAGCUACAGCCAAAACCAAGUUCUUUUUAUUGCAAUGGUAAUGAAAGGAGCCCCGUGUAAGUCACUGGAAGGUCACAUGUUCACAGACUGUCAGCUGUGGAGGGUUAUGUAACAGUGGUUAUGCAAUGCCACGUUAGAACUACAGCC
RNAcentral lists this small RNA (420 nucleotides) under Pan troglodytes (chimpanzee). Its description in RNAcentral is "processed transcript". Lineage: Eukaryota; Metazoa; Chordata; Mammalia; Primates; Hominidae. The record is from RNAcentral.